GCCAGGUGUAGUGCUGCACACCUGCAAUCCCAGUCGCUUGGGAGGCUGAGGCAGGAGGAUCGCAAGUUCAAAGUCAGCCUCAGCAAUUUUGUGAAGCUCUAAGAAACUUAGUGAGACCCUGUCUCAA
RNAcentral lists this small RNA (127 nucleotides) under Marmota monax (woodchuck). The record is from RNAcentral. Lineage: Eukaryota; Metazoa; Chordata; Mammalia; Rodentia; Sciuridae.